Rhopalosiphum maidis (corn leaf aphid) is the source of this 73-nucleotide small nucleolar RNA. Lineage: Eukaryota; Metazoa; Arthropoda; Insecta; Hemiptera; Aphididae. The record is from RefSeq and is a predicted model, not a curated record.
UAUUAGUGAUGAAUAAUAAUUUAGUCAGUUCUGCUACUGAAUGUAUUGAGGAUAAUAAAUCAUAUUCUGAAAU